Molecule: ribosomal RNA, 497 nt
Filed under: uncultured bacterium
Lineage: Bacteria
Description: partial 16S ribosomal RNA
Rfam family: Bacterial small subunit ribosomal RNA
Source: RNAcentral
GAUGAACGCUGGCGGCGUGCCUAAUACAUGCAAGUCGAGCGAACUUUUGGGAGCUUUCUCCCAAAAGUUAGCGGCGGACGGGUGAGUAACACGUGGGUAACCUCCCUCUAAGACUGGGAUAACUUCGGGAAACCGGAGCUAAUACCGGAUAACAUUUAAGACCACAUGGCCUUCAAUUAAAAAGUGGCUUUUUGCUACCACUUACAGAUGGACCCGCGCCGCAUUAGCUAGUUGGUGAGGUAACGGCUCACCAAGGCGACGAUGCGUAGCCGACCUGAGAGGGGAUUCGCCAACACGGGACCGAGACCACGCCCCAGCCUCCAAGGGGAGGAAGAAGAAGGAAACCUCCGGAAUGGGGGGAAGUCUGGCGGGGCAAAGGCGGGUGGGGGGAGGAGGGUUUCGGGUCGUAAAGAUCUGUUGAUUGGGGAGAAACAGAUGUGUACGUAACGAGGCGCAUCUUGACGGUACCUAAUCAGAAAGCCACGGCUAACUACGUG